RNAcentral lists this ribosomal RNA (365 nucleotides) under uncultured eukaryote. RNAcentral's name for it is "partial 18S ribosomal RNA". It matches the Rfam family "Eukaryotic small subunit ribosomal RNA", at positions 592 to 976 of the family's 1831-position model. The record is from RNAcentral.
CAAUAGCGUAUAUUUAAGUUGUUGCAGUUAAAGAGCUCGUAGUCGGAUUUUGGCUGAGAACGAACGGUCCGCCGUUAGGUGUGCACUGUUUGGUCUCAGCUUCCUGGUGAGGAGGUGUGCUUCACGGCCACUUAGUCACCGUGGUUACUUUGAAAAAAUUAGAGUGUUCAAAGCGGGCUUACGCUUGAAUAUAUUAGCAUGGAAUAACACCAUAGGACUCCUGUCCUAUUUCGUUGGUCUCGGGACGGGAGUAAUGAUUAAGAGGAACAGUUGGGGGCAUUCGUAUUUCAUUGUCAGAGGUGAAAUUCUUGGAUUUAUGAAAGACGAACUACUGCGAAAGCAUUUGCCAAGGAUGUUUUCAUUAA